AGAGUUUGAUCAUGGCUCAGAGUGAACGCUGGCGGCGUGCCUAAUACAUGCAAGUCGAACGCGAAAGUCCUUCGGGAUGAGUAAAGUGGCGCACGGGUGAGUAAUACAUGAGAACAUGCCCUUAGAUGGGGAAUAACGUUUGGAAACGAACGCUAAUACCGCAUAAUCUCGCGAGAGUAAAGGUGGCGCCGCAAGGGCUACCGUCUAAGGAUUGGCUCAUGUCCCAUUGGCUAGUUGGCGGGGUAAUGGCCCACCAAGGCAACGAUGGCUAGCUGGUCUGAGAGGAUGACCAGCCACACUGGGACUGAGACACGGCCCAGACUCCUACGGGAGGCAGCAGUGGGGAAUAUUGCGCAAUGGGCGAAAGCCUGACGCAGCGACGCCGCGUGGGUGAUGAAGGCCUUCGGGUCGUAAAGCCCUGUCGCAGGGGAAGAAUAAGCAUCGGUAUAAUACGCCGGUGCCCUGACGGUACCCUGCAAGAAAGCACCGGCUAACUCCGUG
RNAcentral lists this ribosomal RNA (501 nucleotides) under uncultured bacterium. RNAcentral describes it as "bacterial SSU rRNA". It matches the Rfam family "Bacterial small subunit ribosomal RNA", at positions 8 to 507 of the family's 1533-position model. The record is from RNAcentral.